Molecule: ribosomal RNA, 497 nt
Filed under: uncultured bacterium
Lineage: Bacteria
Description: partial 16S ribosomal RNA
Rfam family: Bacterial small subunit ribosomal RNA
Source: RNAcentral
GAUGAACGCUGGCGGCGUGCCUAAUACAUGCAAGUCGAGCGAACAGAUGAGGAUCUUGCUCCUCUGACGUUAGCGGCGGACGGGUGAGUAACACGUGGAUAACCUACCUAUAAGACUGGGAUAACUUCGGGAAACCGGAGCUAAUACCGGAUAAUAUAUUGAACCGCAUGGUUCAAUAGUUAAAUACGGUUUUGCUGUCACUUAUAGAUGUAUCCGCGCCGCAUUAGCUAGUUGGUAAGGUAACGGCUUACCAAGGCGACGAUGCGUAGCCGACCUGAGAGGGUGAUCGGCCACACUGGAACUGAGACACGGUCCAGACUCCUACGGGAGGCAGCAGUAGGGAAUCUUCCGCAAUGGGCGAAAGCCUGACGGAGCAACGCCGCGUGAGUGAUGAAGGUCUUCGGAUCGUAAAACUCUGUUAUUAGGGAAGAACAAAUGUGUAAGUAACUAUGCACGUCUUGACGGUACCUAAUCAGAAAGCCACGGCUAACUACGUG